Molecule: ribosomal RNA, 440 nt
Filed under: uncultured bacterium
Lineage: Bacteria
Description: partial 16S ribosomal RNA
Rfam family: Bacterial small subunit ribosomal RNA
Source: RNAcentral
CCUACGGGAGACAGCAGUGGGGAAUAUUGCACAAUGGGGGCAACCCUGAUGCAGCGACGCCGCGUGAGUGAAGAAGUCUUUCGGUAUGUAAAGUUCUAUCAGCAGGGAAGAAAAUGACGGUACCUGCUUAAGAAGCGCCGCCUAACUACGUGCCAGCAGCCGCGGUUAUACGUAGGGGGCAAGCGUUUUCCGGAUUUACUGGGUGUAAAGGGCGCGUAGACGGCAGCAUACGUCUGGAGUGAAAUGCCGGGGCUGAACCCCGGAACUGCUUUGGAAACUGUGCAGCUAGAGUGCAGGAGAGGUAAGUGGAAUUCCUAGUGUAGCGGUGAAAUGCGUAGAUAUUAGGAGGAACACCAGGGGCGAAGGCGGAUUACUGGACUGUAAGUGACGUUGAGGCUCGAAAGCGUGGGGAGCAAACAGGAUUAGAUACCCGGGUAGUC